CAUUGCCAGUCAACGGUCACCACGCAAAAAGUCUAAAAACACAAAUUUUUUUGUCCAAAGUAAUUAUCUUUCCCUUGUAGCUUUAAAAAAAUUCCACAUCUCCCCACUGCUACCUUUGGUCUCACAGUACAAUGACAAGGAGGGAGAGGAUUGGUUAAAACAGCCCUGUCAGCUGUUUGCUCUUCUUUUUGUCCCACUCAGUAAUUUGCAGCUUUAGAGCACUAUGGAGAUAAGAGACAUAAGAGCACUCCAUGCUUUGGGAGUUUUGAUAACCAAACCCAACACUUCCUCACCAUAGAUCUCAAGCUGCAAAAGACAUUGAGUGAUAUACAGUACUUUACUGCGAGAUCCUUAGAAGUGCUACCUGCCAGCCUCAUCACCUCUGCAGUGAGCUAUUCCAGAAAUGGGUAGUAUACACACAGCAGCAGUAGCACUCACCUGCCUAUUGUGGUUGGAAUCUUCAGAUCUGUAGAGGAGCUCCAAUCUUUGCCUUCACCUUGGAUGUUAUCUCCUGGCUUGUGGGGCAGACUCUUCAGCCUUCCAAUACAGACUCUUCAGCCUCCAGCAUCAACAUGUUAGCCUUCCAGCACAGACCCUUCAGGCUUCCAUUACAGAUGCUUUGGCCUCCUGAUAUGAACUCAAUGAGACACUGCAGUGACCUCCAGGCCUUUGACUGGGUCCUUCAGAUCUCCAAUGUGUAGACAGACCUUUGCACUCUUCCACACCUGAUGCUGUGGGUGGCUAUUGUAAGCCAAUCUUGUAAAUUCUUAUGUAUUUGUAUAUCUCAUAUUAUAUCUGUUUCUCUAGUAAACACUGACUGAAACAGACAUGAAAUUUGGAGAAAAGCCCUCCAUUAUGACUGUUUCCUGGUUGGGCCUGCCACUGGCUGCACUUCCCACAAUGCUUCCAGUUCUCCUCUGAAUGAGGAAUAUUAAGGGCAUCUAGAGAUGCACCUUCAGCUCAGUGAAGUUUCAUCACUGGAAUCCCCCUGCCAACAAUGUCUCCAGGCUGCUUUCUGAGAGAUGGGCAUUGGCCACUAGCUGUGGAUACUUGGGGGAGGCACAGUUGCCCUUCAAGUAGCCUGGUUCUGGACAUUCCUCCUGAGAAAUUUUUAAAGAAUCCUCUGUAGGGACCACUGGCUGGAUUACCCUGG
RNAcentral lists this long non-coding RNA (1153 nucleotides) under Heterocephalus glaber (naked mole-rat). RNAcentral describes it as "lncRNA (ENSHGLG00000050596.1)". Lineage: Eukaryota; Metazoa; Chordata; Mammalia; Rodentia; Bathyergidae. The record is from RNAcentral.